Molecule: ribosomal RNA, 484 nt
Filed under: uncultured bacterium
Lineage: Bacteria
Description: bacterial SSU rRNA
Rfam family: Bacterial small subunit ribosomal RNA
Source: RNAcentral
GGCAGCAGGACUGUAGCAAUACAGUUGCUGGCGACCGGCAAACGGGUGCGGAACACGUACGCAAUCUACCCAAAACUGGUGAAUAGCCCUCCGAAAGGAGGAUUAAUACACCGUAACCUAUUGAAGUGGCAUCACUUUAUUAGUAUAGCUCCGGCGGUUUUGGAUGAGCGUGCGGCUGAUUAGGUAGUUGGCGGGGUAACGGCCCACCAAGCCUGCGAUCAGUAACUGGUGUGAGAGCACGACCAGUCACACGGGCACUGAGACACGGGCCCGACUCCUACGGGAGGCAGCAGUAAGGAAUAUUGGUUAAUGGACGCAAGUCUGAACCAGCCAUGCCGCGUGGAGGAUGAAGGCCCUCUGGGUUGUAAACUUCUUUUAUCUGGGACGAAACCCUCAUAUUCUUAUGAGACUGACGGUACCAGAGGAAUAAGCACCGGCUAACUCCGUGCCAGCAGCCGCGGUAAUACGGAGGGUGCAAGCGUUA